Molecule: non-coding RNA, 74 nt
Organism: Brassica rapa (field mustard)
Lineage: Eukaryota; Viridiplantae; Streptophyta; Magnoliopsida; Brassicales; Brassicaceae
Source: Rfam
ACACUUUGCCAAGUUGUUGAAUUCUCAGAAAAAAUCUGAGUAUUAUGAUUCACUUGUAUAGGAAGAUCUGAUGA